RNAcentral lists this transfer RNA (72 nucleotides) under Ovis aries (sheep). It matches the Rfam family "tRNA". From Rfam's summary of the family: Transfer RNA (tRNA) molecules are approximately 80 nucleotides in length. Their secondary structure includes four short double-helical elements and three loops (D, anti-codon, and T loops). The record is from Rfam by way of RNAcentral. Lineage: Eukaryota; Metazoa; Chordata; Mammalia; Artiodactyla; Bovidae.
UCCCUGAUAGCUCAGUUGGUAAAGAAUCUGCCUGCAAUGCAGGAGACCUGGGUUGGAACCCUGGGUUGGGAA